RNAcentral lists this ribosomal RNA (857 nucleotides) under Paenibacillus sp. NgE4. Its description in RNAcentral is "bacterial SSU rRNA". It matches the Rfam family "Bacterial small subunit ribosomal RNA", at positions 28 to 861 of the family's 1533-position model. Lineage: Bacteria; Bacillati; Bacillota; Bacilli; Caryophanales; Paenibacillaceae. The record is from RNAcentral.
GGCGAGCCCCGGCAUGCCUAUACCUGCAGUCGAGCGGACGUAUGCAUAAAGAAGCUUGCUUCUCCCUGAUGGGUUAGCGGCGGACGGGUGAGUAACACGUAGGCAACCUGCCCUCAAGUUUGGGACAACUACCGGAAACGGUAGCUAAUACCGAAUAAUUGUUUUCUUCGCCUGAAGGAAACUGGAAAGACGGAGCAAUCUGUCACUUGGGGAUGGGCCUGCGGCGCAUUAGCUAGUUGGUGAGGUAACGGCUCACCAAGGCGACGAUGCGUAGCCGACCUGAGAGGGUGAUCGGCCACACUGGGACUGAGACACGGCCCAGACUCCUACGGGAGGCAGCAGUAGGGAAUCUUCCGCAAUGGGCGAAAGCCUGACGGAGCAAUGCCGCGUGAGUGAUGAAGGUUUUCGGAUCGUAAAGCUCUGUUGCCAGGGAAGAACGCUUGGGAGAGUAACUGCUCUCAAGGUGACGGUACCUGAGAAGAAAGCCCCGGCUAACUACGUGCCAGCAGCCGCGGUAAUACGUAGGGGGCAAGCGUUGUCCGGAAUUAUUGGGCGUAAAGCGCGCGCAGGCGGUCAUUUAAGUCUGGUGUUUAAUCCCGGGGCUCAACCCCGGAUCGCACUGGAAACUGGGUGACUUGAGUGCAGAAGAGGAGAGUGGAAUUCCACGUGUAGCGGUGAAAUGCGUAGAUAUGUGGAGGAACACCAGUGGCGAAGGCGACUCUCUGGGCUGNAACUGACGCUGAGGCGCGAAAGCGUGGGGAGCAAACAGGAUUAAAUACCCUGGUAGUCCACGCCGUAAACGAUGAGUGCUAGGUGUUAGGGGUUUCCAUACCCCUUGGNGCCGUAGAUAAUUCAAG